GACGAACGCUGGCGGCGUGCCUAAUACAUGCAAGUCGAACGAAGCUGUUUUAACUGGUGCUUGCACCGACUUAAACAACUGAGUGGCGAACGGGUGAGUAACACGUGGGUAACCUGCCCCAAAGCGGGGGAUAACAUUUGGAAACAGACGCUAAUACCGCAUAACAACAGAAACCACAUGGUUUCUGUGUCAAAGAUGGUUUCGGCUAUCACUUUGGGAUGGACCCGCGGCGUAUUAGCUAGUUGGUAAGGUAAUGGCUUACCAAGGCAAUGAUACGUAGCCGAACUGAGAGGUUGAUCGGCCACAUUGGGACUGAGACACGGCCCAAACUCCUACGGGAGGCAGCAGUAGGGAAUCUUCCACAAUGGACGAAAGUCUGAUGGAGCAACGCCGCGUGAGUGAAGAAGGUUUUCGGAUCGUAAAACUCUGUUGUCAGAGAAGAACGUGUGCGAGAGUAACUGUUCGUGCAGUGACGGUAUCUGGCCAGAAAGCCACGGCUAACUACGUGCCAGCCGCCGCUGUAA
This 524-nucleotide ribosomal RNA is filed under the name uncultured bacterium. RNAcentral describes it as "partial 16S ribosomal RNA". It matches the Rfam family "Bacterial small subunit ribosomal RNA", at positions 28 to 523 of the family's 1533-position model. The record is from RNAcentral.